AGCAGCCGCCGCGGUAAAACGUAGGUGGCAAGCGUUGUCCGGAAUUAUUGGGCGUAAAGGGCUCGCAGGCGGUUUCUUAAGUCUGAUGUGAAAGCCCCCGGCUCAACCGGGGAGGGUCAUUGGAAACUGGGAAACUUGAGUGCAGAAGAGGAGAGUGGAAAUCCACGUGUAGCGGUGAAAUGCGUAGAGAUGUGGAGGAACACCAGUGGCGAAGGCGACUCUCUGGUCUGUAACUGACGCUGAGGAGCGAAAGCGUGGGGAGCGAACAGGAUUAGAUACCCCCGUAGUCCCUGUCUCUUAUAC
RNAcentral lists this ribosomal RNA (303 nucleotides) under uncultured bacterium. RNAcentral's name for it is "partial 16S ribosomal RNA". It matches the Rfam family "Bacterial small subunit ribosomal RNA", at positions 507 to 807 of the family's 1533-position model. The record is from RNAcentral.